RNAcentral lists this ribosomal RNA (420 nucleotides) under uncultured eukaryote. RNAcentral's name for it is "bacterial SSU rRNA". It matches the Rfam family "Eukaryotic small subunit ribosomal RNA", at positions 592 to 1018 of the family's 1831-position model. The record is from RNAcentral.
CAAUAGCGUAUAUUAAAGUUGUUGCAGUUUAAAAGCUCGUAGUUGGAUUUCUGGUGGGAGCACGGGUCGGCCCUCACGGGUUGUACUGUUGUUGCGUCCCGCCGUUUCGGAGGGAAUGGUCUCGCUAUUAAGUUAGCGUGAUCGGGAACUCUGUCGUUUACUGUGAAAAAUUAGAGUGUUCAAAGCAGGCUUAUGCCGUUGAAUAUAUUAGCAUGGAAUAAUAAGAUAUGACUUUGGUCUAUUUUGUUGGUUUGCACUCCAAAGUAAUGAUUAAUAGGGAUAGUUGGGGGUAUUCGUAUUCAAUUGUCAGAGGUGAAAUUCUUGGAUUUAUGGAAGACGAACUACUGCGAAAGCAUUUACCAAGGAUGUUUUCAUUAAUCAAGAACGAAAGUUAGGGGAUCGAAGACGAUUAGAUACCGU